Anolis carolinensis (green anole) is the source of this 3051-nucleotide long non-coding RNA. The record is from Ensembl. Lineage: Eukaryota; Metazoa; Chordata; Lepidosauria; Squamata; Anolidae.
CGUUUUCAAAAAAAAAAGUCUUUGCCUGGUUCGAUUGUUUUGGAUUUUCACUCUCCAGACAGAAUUCCCUAAAGGUUUGAAUGAUACCAACUCUUAUGACUGGUUUUUUAUAAAUCUGUUGUAUUUCUUUAAAUGCGACUCAUGAGUUCAAUGUUACACACUGCUUUGUAGAAUACCUGUGUGAGUUUCUUGGCUAUUUAAACAACAGGUUGAGCCAUUUAGGCUCAUACUCGCAGUAGAAUAAAACCUUAUGCAGAGUAUCUUUGAUUUGAAACAGAAUGCUUUGUAAGUAUAGACAUAAUAUCUUUUCAUUGUUUUAUUUUUAUCCAUUCUGUGUUUAAUGUAUCAAGACAACAACUUGUAAGCCACUGUAUGUUCCCAAUAGGUUCCACGACAUCUAUGAAAGACUGUAUGGUUUAUUGAGUACAUGCUUGAAUUGUUUGAACUAAAUAACAAAACCACAGAAGCCAGACAGACCCACCAUGGAAGGAUUUCCAAGGUGCUGAAGGGCGAGGAAGCGAUCAAGGAAGCAUUCAUCCAUCUCCUGAUAGUAAAGCACAUGGCAGCAAGCAGUUCCAUGGUCAGCUAUUUAUAACAUGUUAUUUCUAAGCUUUAUCCUGAAGGCAUCUAUUAUGGCACAAAAUCAGUGGGUGUCUUGAUAGCAAAUAAGCACUCUGUCCAUAUUGUCCUAUUUCCCAAAAAUCACUGCUUCUUCCAUUAAAGUUGCAUUAUUUGGCAGAUACAAAUUUAGGACCUUGGGUAGUUCCUUUCUGUAAGGUUAAUCGGAUGUUUUAUUUUGCACAUAAUUUAUUGUGACAUCAAUGAUGUUUCCCAUAUGAAAAGGAGUGGCAUAGUUCCAUUCAGGAAUAAAAUACAUUGCAAUGGUUAUGCUUAUUUUUAUUUCUCUCACUUUCCUUCUCAUUCAAACAUUACGGAUGAGUCAUACUAGUUAUCUCUAGGCAGCCGCAUGCAUACACACAAUCAUAAUCUCAUUUUAAAAGUCUUUGUCCAUUAUAUGCAUGGAAAGAAUUUUACCUGAACCUCUGAUAUUAAAGAGAGAAAAAACUGCAAACCUAUUUGUAUAAGCUUGAAUCUGGUUGUGAAACUGUUCUGCAGUCCUGAUACAAAGCAAACUUUAAAAGAGACAUCAGGGUGCUAACAUUCUUUUGAAUUGGGUUCAGUACUAUGGAUAGCUCCUUCAAAUGUACAAAACUAAGAUCCUAGAAUGAAGGGAUGGACAGACUACAGCACUAUGUCUUACCCUGCAAUCCCAGUUUGGGUCUCUAAAUCUGAUGUUUGCAUGGCAGAAAGGCAUCCUGUUUUCUCCAGUGGGUUUUUUUAUGACCCAAAAAUAAAUUGAGAUAUGCAUUUCAAAAUUCUGAAUGCUUUAUUAUACAGAAGCAAAACUGAGGUCAGAAAAAAAAACAUAAAUUAGUUGAUUUUCUGAUAAAAGAUAAAAUAUUUGCUAGUUUUUGACAAAAAAAUGGGUGCCAAUGUACCCUAAUUUUCUGAUCUCUUCUCCUUAUUCUUUCUUUUCAAGAUCAACAGUGACAGCAUAGGUUGUAUCCAGUGAAGCCCAUAUUCUGAUUUUUGUUUUGUCUUCUCUACAUUUCUUCACGUAAAUUGAUAUAAAUUCAUCAGUGAAAUUCGGAAAAAAUACAUAAUUGCUUCUUCAUGCUGAACCAAACUGAAUAACUGCUUAAGUUCAAUUCAGUUGUUUUGGGGGUGUUUCUACUUUCUCGACAUAAAACUGUGUGGUUGUUUUUACACCAACAAGCCUUUGAUAAUUAAGCUAGCAGCCUAGGCAGACGUUUGAAUGUAAGCUGGUAUGCUUUUAGAGGGGAUCUAGUUGGUUGCUGACUAGUAUUUUAAAGGUGCACUUUUAACUAAUUUCCUUCCAUUUUAUGUUUUAAUCCUGGUUUUUUAAAUGUAAUUUUAUUAAGUGCCUUUUAUGUCACAAAACCAGGAAUAACUGAAAGAAUGCAAGCAAAUAAGCUCCUGUUUAUUACUGUUCACUUCCAGUUAUUUUAUUUAGACAUAGGAUAGGAUAGGAUGUGAUAGGAUUCAAAAUCAAUUUUCCACUUGGCACAUGUCUCUGCUUACGACUGGAACAUUUCUAUCCACCCACAUCCAAUAUUUAUGUAAUCCUCCAGAGUAACAGGCAACAUUGAAAUUUAGAAAUAUUUCUUUCCCCUUGAUAGUUUCACCCAACACCUGAGCUGCUGAUUAAAGAUGCAGAAUCCUCUAAUAGAUUUCACCUUUCUGAAUGGGUUUAUAGAAUCUUAAUUGGAUACAGGUGGAUGAACCAUCUCAAAAGGCAUGCCUGACUCUUCAACAGCUGCAGUCCUUAUAAGACACUUGAAUUUCAAAAGUACGAUAUAACAUCAUCAGGGAUUUGUGUGUGCCAGUAAUCUGGCGGCUGCCAUUUGAAGAGCAAAACAAAUACUCAUUUGCAAGUUUAUUUGGUAUUUGAUAAUUUUGUAUUCCUUAAGAAACAAAAAAACUAGUGCAUCACAUUAUCAUGUUUAGAGCUGUAAAUCAUUUCAACUCAUUUAGCUGAAAUUACUUAUAUGAUUACCUCUGAUAUAUCCAACAGGUACCUAAAGUGAUAAAUACCAUAAUCCAGCCCAGAAUUAGGUCAAUGGUCUUAAUCAUAUCUAACUGUGUAGUGGCCAUAACUGUCUCAUUUUAAUUAUUGAAGAAGUGGAGGAAUAGUCAAUCCAAUGCAGUUUAGAAUGCUGAAAUCCACUAAAAUCAAUAGGUCAAAAUGACCUCUACUAUGUAGCCAAUUACAUUCUAGGAAAUCAUGAAACCUGUGCUGAUAUUAAUCAGUAUUCAGCUAAAAUAGUAAUCAGCAGAAUACCUAUUAAAAUUAUAAUCGCUUAUUAGUCCCAUCCUUCCUGUGUUCACAAGAUGUUCAGCACAAUUAAAACAUAUAUUUUGCCAUUGUUGUCAGAUAUGUCUUCCUUCUUUAUCAGAAAUGCCAGUUUUGAGCUGCUCAAACCAAAUCUAACUUCAGAUAAAAUGUGUUCUAUGAGCAACUAGAAUGAG